CCUACGGGUGGCAGCAGUGGGGAAUAUUGCACAAUGGGGGAAACCCUGAUGCAGCGACGCCGCGUGAGUGAAGAAGUAAUUCGUUAUGUAAAGCUCUAUCAGCAGGGAAGAAAAUGACGGUACCUGAGUAAGAAGCCCCGGCUAACUACGUGCCAGCAGCCGCGGUAAUAAGUAGGGGGCAAGCGUUAUCCGGAUUUACUGGGUGUAAAGGGAGCGUAGACGGCAGUGCAAGUCUGGAGUGAAAGGCGGGGGCUCAACCCCCGGACUGCUCUGGAAACUGUACGGCUGGAGUGCAGGGGAGGUAAGUGGAAUUCCUAGUGUAGCGGUGAAAUGCGUAGAUAUUAGGAGGAACACCAGUGGCGAAGGCGGCUUACUGGACUGUAACUGACGUUGAGGCUCGAAAGCGUGGGGAGCAAACAGGAUUAGAUACCCGAGUAGUC
This 440-nucleotide ribosomal RNA is filed under the name uncultured bacterium. RNAcentral's name for it is "partial 16S ribosomal RNA". It matches the Rfam family "Bacterial small subunit ribosomal RNA", at positions 338 to 795 of the family's 1533-position model. The record is from RNAcentral.